UAACAGCGUACUGAGUCCCCAGGCAGGCAGCUCCCCGUCCCCUCCGGCUCCUGACACAGGGACAGUGAGCAGUGGCAGGUGCCAAGGCGGUGGCUGUCGCUAGGACCGUGCUCCUGCCGCACAUUGCGGCUCCGCUCCUGCUGCUGCGCUGCCGAGCCUCCUCCCACGGGCGCGGCUGAUUUUUACAUAGCCCACUUAAGAGCGGAGGAAGGGGAGAGCUGCGGGCAGCCGUGCUGCCGAGUGAGCCCGCAGGAACGGACUGAGAAGCGGCGAAAAAGCCGGAGCGGCCCGGGAAGGAGAACGGAACCGAGCCGAGCCGAGCCGAGCCGGCUGCGAGCGCUGCACUCCUCCCCUCGCCAGAGCCAAUCCCACAUGGCCGCUCGGAGGGUCUGGUUUUCUCUCUUCCCCAAGGAAAUCACACUCUCUGAGACCCCGAUGGGGAUGGAGCAUAAGGAUCAGGCCAGGGAAAGCCCAUCCCACCCUGCAUCCCACCGGUGGCUGCUCCAGCAGAGCUGUUCUGGUCCCUGUGCUUUCCCUGCUGGCUGCACCCGAGCCACACUCAGGGGCACAGUGUCCCGAGCAGGAUCAGGCCUCCUCAGCCAGCUUGGAGGCUGGGAACCACUUAAUUGACUGAGGAUUUUAAUUACCUAUGCACUGGAUAGAGCCCAUGGGGAAAAGAGUGAUAAGGCAGGCGGCUGGACCUGCAGGUACAUAACAAGGAAGGUCAUUGCUGAAAGUGUUGGGAGCAAUAUUAUAGACCAAGUGUCACUGAAAUGCACCUGACGUGGGCCAUGCUGCACACUGGGCAUCCACAGGCAGGUGUGAGCCAUCCAAUGGGACCCUCUUGCACCUUUCCUUCUGCAAAGCUCACCAGCAGACCCUACAUGGGGCUGGAAGCACCACUUUAUCCUGGCAGGUUUCCUGAGCCUUUGAAAACUGAAUGGGGAUGCUGGAAGGCACAGCUCACUAACAGGUAACUUGGGCUGGAGAAGAGGAACCACUUCUGGUUGUUUGGAAGGGAAUGGGAGUGGCAGCUGUUGGUAACUGAGGGCAGGAAGAUGUGUAGGUGUAGUGUUUAGGGACAUGAUUUACUGGUGGACUUGGCAGCUGGACUUGAAGGUCUUGUAAGCCUUUUUCAACCCAAACAAUUCUAUAAUUCAAGUUCAUGCUACCAGGAAGGUGGGUUCAGUGGUAGCAGCCCUCCCAUUUAUUAGAGAAGCCAUGUCUUCAUAGGGAAUGGGGAUGGGGAGGGAUCCAGAGGGCAGAGACAGAGAUCCCUCACCCAAAUCCUGCCCAGAUCUCACCUGAAAUGUGCUAUGGGACAACAGGGACGAAUUUAGGGAUGCUGAAGGUGUUCAAGCCUUUGUUUGGAAAGAUUCCAAGGUGUAACAGCAAAUGUCAAGGCUGCAGAGCAGCACCCAUGUUGACUUAGAGGAUUUCUUGAGGCCUAAAGAAUCCUCCCAAAAGCCCCCAAACCUCAUACCCCAUCACUGACACCAUGACCAGCAGUGGCAGGUGUCACUACCUGGCAGCAGUGAUGAUUUGUCACAUAAACAUCAUCCAUUAGCAGCAGGAGGGAGUCCCAAACAGGAGUUUUUACAGAGGGCUCUAAGCAGGUUUUGGCACUUUCUCUCUGGAUCAGAAACACAGUCUUCACAGGCAGCUCCAGCCAUAAAAAUGGAUGGCAGAAGCAAUCAGUGUUGCUCAGUCUUUGCCAUAAAAGCACAGAUAGAGGGAGAAUCCAGAGGAAGAAUCCCUCAGCCCAGCUGGCAGGGACGAGCAUCCACUGAACCCUCCAGCACAGCUCCCUGAGCUCAGCACAGACCGUGCCCUCAUCCUCCACCACACACAUCCACCCAUCUCAGCCAGCACACACUUCCCAGGCAGCCCUCCUCUGCAAGGACCUCCCGCUUUUUGGCAGCUGCUGCAGCAGGGAGCAUUUUCCUUCUCCCUUCCAGGAGCGCCCACAAGGAGCGGCCGCGGUUUCGGCGUCGGGGCAGGCGCGCGCUGGAAGGCUCUGCCUGCCAAUGCAGCUCUGAGAGUGCCUCAGAGGGGCUGCUGCAGGCACAGAGCUGGCCAAGUCCUGCUUAUCUGAUGGGAUCCACCAACAUCCCUGCUCCCAGCAGUACCACUUCAGGUUUUUCUGUCAGCUGAUGAUAUGAGGCUGAAAUGAAGAUAAAUGGGAGUAAAAGAAGAGAAAUCCCUCCUCAAAAGGCAUUUGAAUGCAGGAUAAAAAGCAACCCAGUGACAAGGACUCUUUUUUUCUUCUCCCCAAACUUUGGGAAGUCGGAUGUGGGUGUGAAUAUCACUUUAAGGAUUUAUAAAAUGACACAUGGCCUCACCUGUCAGCAUGCCAAAAUCUGAAUGUCGGUUUUAAUUACACCGAAUAUUUUACUUUCUUAUGCAGAGGCAUAAUCAAUUAUCUUAUUUAAAGGCAUUACGAUAAUGUGUGUGUAAAAUGGAGCCAUUCCCUGUAUUGCAUUAGAUUCUCUAAUUAUAGGAGAAUGUUUGGAGCUAAAAUGUCAGCCUGUCAUCUGGCGGGUGUGUAAUUCAUGAUCUGCAUUUGCCGGCACGGAUGGAGCUGACAAAAAAUUGUAUUCAUUCUCUUCCACUGCUUUGGCCUCAAAUUUGCCUGGCCUGGAGAUGACAAAUUCCACCCUGUCUCCCUUCUGGAGCUCAGCAAGUCCAUCCUGCCCUGUGCUGGGGGGAUGAUGCUGUGAGGAGCUGAGUUUGACAAAGUGUUCUCUGUCGGUGGGUGUCUCUUAGUUAGACCUCGCUGAGCCUGGAGAGCGAGUGUGGGGUUACACACCAAGCUCUUGGGCAGUGGGGAGCUGUUUGGAUGUGAUCAUGAGCUCAGCAAAUGCUUCCUCAUGUCCCACAUGGCGGGAGGAGACUGAGGCGUGAGCAGAGCUGGAGGCAGAAGACAGAACCCACCAGGGACUUUGCAAAACAGCCUCAUCUGAAUUACGAAUAAUGAAAGCCCUCCAACUCUCAGUUAUUAAAGCAGAGGGAUUAGAUAAAAAUAGUGUGCUUGUUUCUUGGGAUCUUAGUCCUUUCUCUAAGCAUUACCCAAGUGAAAGCAGCCUGGAUGAUUUCAGUGCCUGUUUUGCAGGACAGUUCCUGAUCACAUCUAUGAUGUCACUUCUAGGUCAGAAACCACAUAGAGGGAAGAGAGAAACCUCUUUGUCUUGGUGCAGGGGUAAGGGGAGAUUGUAGUUUGGGAAAUUAUGAAACAUUACCAGUAAAGGAGAAGCACUGCAGUGAGAUUGCUGUGAGUGCACUGAAACAGAGAGCAUGAUCUCUGGGGGUGAGGGGCGGCAAGAAGCAUCACCUGGAGGUGACACCCUAGCAGCAGCAUCCCAAAAGGAAGGUCCUGAUGAAGGAAAUGCUGCUGGUGGCUGUGGCAUUAGCCAAAGGGAUAAAUCACAGAGGGCAGUGCCAUUGCUGUGUCCAGCUCCAGGUGAUGCUGCUUGACCUCCCAGCCACCCAAAAGCAGAUGCUAUAGGACCAGAUACACCACUCUGUGCUGUCCUACAGGCUGUAGCAGUGCAAUCUCCUGGCCUGUCCCUGUGCCUCAGAUUUCAGACCAGAUCCACCCUCUGGAUUUCCUUGAGUGUCCUGGAUCAAUGCACCAGAGCAGGACGUGGGUCAUCCCAAUGCUCCCCACGUCACUCACACUCCCCAGCCCUCACUCCCAGCCCUGACUUCCUUGCAUGCAGGUAUCCUAACACAGCCUCAUCCCCAGGCUGCCAAGGAUGUGCACGAUGCCAUUAAGAGGCUUAUUAAAAAGUGAUGCUCCAAUUUAACACUUAUUAGCCAGCACGGUGCCCUUUAACGGCACGGGGGAACCUGCAAAUGGAGGCCCAAGCUCCCAGCAGAACCCUAAGAGGCUGAGUUUAACUUUAUGGCUCCAAUUAGAGCAACACUAAAGCAGCACCGAUGCCAUGGAUUUAUUAACACUGAGCCCGUCCCAGAGGGCUGCUGGCCAAUGCCAAUGCACAGGCAGGGCUUUGCCAGCUGUGUCCAGGCCACCACAAUGCCCCAUCCCCUCCAAAUGGGAGAUUUUGGGGAGCUUCUAGGGAAGGGAUGGUGUCAAACAAAGGGGGAUAAGGGAGAGAACAGGCUGAACCCAUCCCUGGUCAUUGCUGCAAUCUGAGUUUCCUAUUUUAGGGGAUGUCACCAGCUGGUGGGAUGCUAAGGCAAAGCAGGGGAAUGUCUCUCUGGGUGUCAAAUCUUCCUUUGGUCUGGAUGAGCAGGGCCAGAGUGGGAGGGAGAGCAGCUGCCUGCACACAGGGGUUGAAGAUGUUUAAAGCACUUGGUUGUUCCGGGAGGUUUAUAGGCUGCCUUUGCCUAAUAAAGUCAUUUUUUAGCCUCUUGC
This 4378-nucleotide long non-coding RNA is filed under the name Zonotrichia albicollis (white-throated sparrow). RNAcentral describes it as "lncRNA (ENSZALG00000001612.1)". Lineage: Eukaryota; Metazoa; Chordata; Aves; Passeriformes; Passerellidae. The record is from RNAcentral.